Molecule: ribosomal RNA, 654 nt
Filed under: uncultured archaeon
Lineage: Archaea
Description: bacterial SSU rRNA
Rfam family: Archaeal small subunit ribosomal RNA
Source: RNAcentral
GCCUAAAGCGUCCGUAGCCGGCUCUGUAAGUUUUCGGUUAAAUCUGUACGCUCAACGUACAGGCUGCUGGGAAUACUGCAGAGCUAGGGAGUGGGAGAGGUAGACGGUACUCGGGAGGAAGUGGUAAAAUGCUUUGAUCUCUCGAUGACCACCUGUGGCGAAGGCGGUCUACCAGAACACGUCCGACGGUGAGGGAUGAAAGCUGGGGGAGCAAACCGGAUUAGAUACCCGGGUAGUCCCAGCUGUAAACUAUGCAAACUCAGUGAUGCAUUGGCUUGUGGCCAGUGCAGUGCCGCAGAGAAGUCGUUAAGUUUGCCGCCUGGGAAGUACGUACGCAAGUAUGAAACUUAAAGGAAUUGGCGGGGGAGCACCACAAGGGGUGAAGCCUGCGGUUCAAUUGGAGUCAACGCCAGAAAUCUUACCCGGAGAGACAGCAGAAUGAAGGUCAAGCUGAAGACUUUACCAGACAAGCUGAGAAGUGGUGCAUGGCCGUCGCCAGCUCGUGCCGUGAGGUGUCCUGUUAAGUCAGGUAACGAGCGAGAUCCCUGCCUCUAGUUGCCACCAUUGCUCUCAGGAGCAGUGGGGCGAAUUAGCGGGACUGCCGCAGUUAAUGCGGAGGAAGGAAGGGGCCACGGCAGGUCAGUAUGCCCCGAA